AUUGAACGCUGGCGGCAUGCCUUACACAUGCAAGUCGAACGGCAGCGGGGACUUCGGUCCGCCGGCGAGUGGCGAACGGGUGAGUAAUGUAUCGGAACGUACCAUUCAGUGGGGGAUAACUAUCCGAAAGGAUAGCUAAUACCGCAUAUUCUGUGAGCAGGAAAGCAGGGGAUCGCAAGACCUUGCGCUGAUUGAGCAGCCGAUAUCAGAUUAGCUAGUUGGUGAGGUAAAGGCUCACCAAGGCGACGAUCUGUAGCGGGUCUGAGAGGAUGAUCCGCAAAACUGGAACUGAGACACGGUCCAGACUCCUACGGGAGGCAGCAGUGGGGAAUUUUGGACAAUGGGGGCAACCCUGAUUCAGCCAUGCCGCGUGAGUGGAGAAGGCCUUCGGGUUGUAAAGCUCUUUCGGCCGGGAAAAAAUCGCAUGGGUUAAUACCCUGUGUGGAUGAUGGUACCGGAAUAAGAAGCACCGGCUAACUACGUGCCAGCAGCCGCAGUAA
This 500-nucleotide ribosomal RNA is filed under the name uncultured bacterium. Its description in RNAcentral is "partial 16S ribosomal RNA". It matches the Rfam family "Bacterial small subunit ribosomal RNA", at positions 30 to 523 of the family's 1533-position model. The record is from RNAcentral.